RNAcentral lists this long non-coding RNA (628 nucleotides) under Ictidomys tridecemlineatus (thirteen-lined ground squirrel). RNAcentral's name for it is "lncRNA (ENSSTOG00000033859.1)". Lineage: Eukaryota; Metazoa; Chordata; Mammalia; Rodentia; Sciuridae. The record is from RNAcentral.
UGGGGCGCCCUCCCUCUCCCCACUGGGCGGGCUUACAUGCGGACACGCCCACUCUGCGGACCUCCGCCGGCUGUGCGACGGGGUUGCCCCUUGCCCUUCGCGCCUCUUUGACUCGCGCCUAGACUACCCCUCCGCAGCUGGACCACCACCCGCGCCUCGGGUGUACAAAGUGGCAGCAGGCUGCUCCUUCCUGCUUCCCUCGCAGGAGAUUCCUUGGAAUGAAACCAAUGGGAGUCCAGGCUUUGGGAGAGUCUCAUCAGAGCAGAUGGGCCAGCAGCAGCCAGAAAGCUUGUUGCCUUUGGCUGAGAGCACCAUCCUGGAAGUGAACAUCUUAUAGCUACCCCUGAACAGGAACACACAAAAAAAUUUAAGCUGUUACUGAAACACAGAAGAUGGAAGGAAACUGAUGCUGCCAACGUGCCAAAUGACCAACGGGAAGAAUGUCUGUUAUCAAGUUCAAAUGAGGCCUAAGUUGCUCUGGGCAAGGCUCAGUCAAGGAAAAUUCAGGGGAGUGGACUGAACUAGGUUUUGUGUAUUGGGUAUAUAUUGCUAUGUAACAUAUUACCCCAUGUUGGGUAUUGGUUGUCUAUUGCAUAAUAAAUUACUUGGAUUAACUGGCUUAGAGAAU